GUAAAUAUAGUUUAAAAAAAAACAUUAGAUUGUGAAUCUAACAAUAGAGCCUAACCACUCUUAUUUACC
Molecule: transfer RNA, 69 nt
Filed under: Neotetracus sinensis (Shrew gymnure)
Lineage: Eukaryota; Metazoa; Chordata; Mammalia; Eulipotyphla; Erinaceidae
Description: tRNA-His
Rfam family: tRNA
About the family: Transfer RNA (tRNA) molecules are approximately 80 nucleotides in length. Their secondary structure includes four short double-helical elements and three loops (D, anti-codon, and T loops).
Source: RNAcentral